This is a non-coding RNA of Cavia aperea (Brazilian guinea pig), 125 nucleotides long. The record is from Ensembl. Lineage: Eukaryota; Metazoa; Chordata; Mammalia; Rodentia; Caviidae.
GUGCUCACUGGGCUUGGUCUUCUCCAUGUGGUCCUGACCUGCCCACUUGUGAGCAAGAGAAUUGGAACUGGUUUGGGGGUGUCCUGUCUCAGUGAACAUUGGACACCAUGGUUUUCAGUACAACA